This 462-nucleotide ribosomal RNA is filed under the name uncultured Enterobacteriaceae bacterium. RNAcentral describes it as "bacterial SSU rRNA". It matches the Rfam family "Bacterial small subunit ribosomal RNA", at positions 920 to 1382 of the family's 1533-position model. Lineage: Bacteria; Pseudomonadati; Pseudomonadota; Gammaproteobacteria; Enterobacterales; Enterobacteriaceae. The record is from RNAcentral.
CCCGCACAAGCGGUGGAGCAUGUGGUUCAAUUCGACGCAACGCGCAGAACCUUACCUGGUCUUGACAUCCACGGAAGUUUUCAGAGAUGAGAAUGUGCCUUCGGGAACCGUGAGACAGGUGCUGCAUGGCUGUCGUCAGCUCGUGUUGUGAAAUGUUGGGUUAAGUCCCGCAACGAGCGCAACCCUUAUCCUUUGUUGCCAGCGGUCCGGCCGGGAACUCAAAGGAGACUGCCAGUGAUAAACUGGAGGAAGGUGGGGAUGACGUCAAGUCAUCAUGGCCCUUACGACCAGGGCUACACACGUGCUACAAUGGCGCAUACAAAGGGAAGCGACCUCGCGAGAGCAAGCGGACCUCAUAAAGUGCGUCGUAGUCCGGAUUGGAGUCUGCAACUCGACUCCAUGAAGUCGGAAUCGCUAGUAAUCGUGGAUCAGAAUGCCACGGUGAAUACGUUCCCGGGCCUU